Molecule: ribosomal RNA, 107 nt
Filed under: uncultured bacterium
Lineage: Bacteria
Description: partial 16S ribosomal RNA
Rfam family: Bacterial small subunit ribosomal RNA
Source: RNAcentral
CAGGAAGACGGCCCUACGGGUUGUAAACUGCUUUUGUACCGGAAUAAACCCCGAUUCGUGAAUCGGGUUGAAUGUACGGUAAGAAUAAGGAUCGGCUAACUCCGUGC